This 253-nucleotide ribosomal RNA is filed under the name uncultured bacterium. RNAcentral's name for it is "partial 16S ribosomal RNA". It matches the Rfam family "Bacterial small subunit ribosomal RNA", at positions 524 to 776 of the family's 1533-position model. The record is from RNAcentral.
UACGGGGGGGGCAAGCGUUGUUCGGAAUUACUGGGCGUAAAGGGCUCGUAGGUGGCCUUCUAAGUCAGACGUGAAAUCCCUCGGCUUAACCGGGGAACUGCGUCUGAUACUGGAAGGCUUGAAUUCGGGAGAGGGACGUGGAAUUCCAGGUGUAGCGGUGAAAUGCGUAGAUAUCUGGAGGAACACCGGUGGCGAAGGCGGCGUCCUGGACCGAUAUUGACACUGAGGAGCGAAAGCCAGGGGAGCAAACGGG